UGACCCGGGCCCGGUGGUUGGCGGAGCCAUCAGCUGUGUCGAUCCAGGAUGCCCCCCGGAGGACACGCAUGUCCUGGUCAGUGGCCGGGUACGGUGAUGCCGUCCACUCCCACACGUUGCCCAUGAGGUCAUAGAGCCCUACAGCACAGCAGGGUGGGGGUCAGUCCCAGGCUGGCUAGUACCCGCCCCCCCCCGCCCCCACUUAUGAAGUCUUUAGGGGAGCAAAUGCUUCUCUGGUGGUGUUUCUUUCUGCCUCAUUGAUCAACAGAAUGAUCCCACCAAACAAUUUCAGCUCCCACUCCUCUGCCUUGGACCCCAUGUGCUUCGGUGCCUUGGGAAGAAAGGCUCUCCUCCCCUUCUCUGUGGUCAGCACCACCUGCCAUCUGCAGAACAACCAAUGCCCACCCUGUGCUCUCCUGUAACACCUCUAUCUGUAACACCCUUCUAUCACCAACAGGUGUAACUCUCCCUCGUCUGCCCUGACUCUAUCCUCAUCUGUUCUUACCACCAAAAUUCCUGAAAAAAAAGGACCCUAUAUUUGCUGAUGCAAUGUGUCCAAUGUGUUCAUUCUUCUCAUUAAAACUGGGAUUCAUCUUC
This is a long non-coding RNA of Prionailurus viverrinus (fishing cat), 597 nucleotides long. RefSeq lists it as uncharacterized. The transcript is spliced from 2 exons. Lineage: Eukaryota; Metazoa; Chordata; Mammalia; Carnivora; Felidae. The record is from RefSeq and is a predicted model, not a curated record.